UGGGAAGAAGAUUCGAAGCUACAUGGCC
RNAcentral lists this non-coding RNA (28 nucleotides) under Rattus norvegicus (Norway rat). The record is from RNAcentral. Lineage: Eukaryota; Metazoa; Chordata; Mammalia; Rodentia; Muridae.